RNAcentral lists this ribosomal RNA (250 nucleotides) under uncultured bacterium. RNAcentral describes it as "partial 16S ribosomal RNA". It matches the Rfam family "Bacterial small subunit ribosomal RNA", at positions 355 to 602 of the family's 1533-position model. The record is from RNAcentral.
UAGGGAAUAUUGGUCAAUGGACGAAAGUCUGAACCAGCCACGCCGCGUGAAGGAUGAAGGCCCUAUGGGUUGUAAACUUCUUUUGUCAGGGAAAAAACCCCCAUACGUGUAUGGGGCUGAUUGUACCUGGAGAAUAAGGAUCGGCUAACUCCGUGCCAGCAGCCGCGGUAAUACGGAGGAUCCAAGCGUUGUCCGGAUUUAUUGGGUUUAAAGGGUGCGUAGGCGGAUUAUUAAGUCAGUGGUGAAAGCC